CCAAUAGCGUAUAUUAAAGUUGCUGCAGUUAAAAAGCUCGUAGUUGAAUUUCGGGACCAUCAUGUCGGUCGUGCCCCGGUACGUACUGGCAUUGUUGGUUUCUCCCUUCUGACGAACCAUGAUGUCAUUUAUUUGAUGUUGUGGGGAAUCAGGACUGUUACUUUGAAAAAAUUAGAGUGUUUAAAGCAGGCUCACGCUUGAAUACAUUAGCAUGGAAUAAUGGAAUAGGACGUUUGAUUCUAUUUUGUUGGUUUCUAGGAUCGACGUAAUGAUUAAUAGGGAUAGUUGGGGGCAUUAGUAUUCAAUUGUCAGAGGUGAAAUUCUUGGAUUUAUUGAAGACUAACUACUGCGAAAGCAUUUGCCAAGGAUGUUUUCAUUAAUCAAGAACGAAAGUUAGGGGAUCGAAGACGAUCAGAUACCGUCGUAGUCUUAACCAUAAACUAUGCCGACUAGGGAUCGGAUGAUGUUAAUUUUUUAAUGACUCAUUCGGCGCCUUACG
RNAcentral lists this ribosomal RNA (499 nucleotides) under uncultured Glomeromycotina. RNAcentral's name for it is "partial small subunit ribosomal RNA". It matches the Rfam family "Eukaryotic small subunit ribosomal RNA", at positions 591 to 1092 of the family's 1831-position model. The record is from RNAcentral. Lineage: Eukaryota; Fungi; Glomeromycota.